This is a long non-coding RNA of Notolabrus celidotus (New Zealand spotty), 1271 nucleotides long. RefSeq lists it as uncharacterized. The transcript is spliced from 3 exons. The record is from RefSeq and is a predicted model, not a curated record. Lineage: Eukaryota; Metazoa; Chordata; Actinopteri; Labriformes; Labridae.
UUUCACCUUUAUUUCAAACUCUCUGAAUCUUUCUCUAAUUAACAUUGGGAAACAAACAAAUAGACCUUACCAUUUGAUUCAUUGAGUUAUUCAUCCUAUUAAACCAGGAGCAGUCCGCGUCCCAACUCUCCAAAACUGGCAGCACGAGCUCUUUACGCAACACCAAGGUCCGUUAACGUCCCACACUCAGCGUGAAAUACCUUCACUCAGAUUUUCCCUUUAGGGGCUCCUCAAUUUGAAGACAAAAACAAUAUUAAAAACACUGUCAGUCCGUGGAUUGCUGCCGUUUAUCAGCCUCUGAAGUUGUUAAGGAUCCACGCGGAAAUCACAACCCGCUCUCUUGGAAAUGUGGGAACGACAGCAGUCAUGUGUGUGCAUUCCUCUCUCUGAGUUGUCUUUUUCAUCAUCAUAAGCGUCAUUGUCGUCGUCCAAGCAGCUCCACAGCUCCAAGUCCGGAAUCAAACACACAACAUCGCUAGCAGCACAAGGAAAGGACGCAGAGUGACCGACUGAUGGACCAACCGAGAGCCGUUUCUGAGGAGGCGGGUGUGUGUAGCUAUGUGUGUGUGCCCGUGUGUGUGUUUGUAAUCCAUGUGCAGCUGCGUGCAGGCAGAGGAGAGCAAACUGUCAUUUGUACCCUGGGACCUCCAGGGGUCCUUGAGGAGAAUCCCAGGGGCGCUCGUAGCGGUUUCCAGGAGCAGAGUCACCCCAGUAUUAUUCAGCAGACAUACUAACCCAUAUGUGUGUGCCGGGAAGUUGCUGUGCAGCGGAGUGUAUCGCCUUGUCCACCAGUGAUGUAUGAGAGUGAUUUGUGGGCAGGUCGAAACGGAAAACACAGACGAGUCUGGCUGGAAUUAAGUGUGGAAAUAAACCACUGAGUGGGACUUUUGGCUGCAGGAAAUCCACAAUGGAGGACUACUAAUGGAGUGUUCAGGGCAUCUUUUGCAAAUGCACCAAUGGAGAGAUGAAAAGAAGAAUGAGAUGAACAGUCCAGAGAUGCAGCAGAUGACAUGUAGGAGGAUCAGGUUGGAGGAGGAGAGAGUCAGUCUGUGGGCAAGCAGCCUCAGCUAAUGGCAACAAAGUCCAUCUCAGUGGUGCAAUGAUACAUCUGUGUGUCUGGCUGGGUGAAAGCAGCUCUUUACCUUUAGCUUGGGACAACAGAAGAGGAGAGAGGGUGUGUUGUCAUAAAACUGAGUUCACUGAGGGAGCUGAGGACACUCCCAUAGAAGUUAAGAGCAUUAAAAAUAAAAGCAAGAAUACUAACAAAGUCA